UCGGAUAUGGUGCAAUGGAUAGCGCAGUCUCGUGGAUUCUCUCACAUGGGCUGGGAUGAGAGAUAGACCGAGGUUCGAUUCCUCGUAUCCGCC
Non-coding RNA from Mycena vulgaris, 93 nucleotides. The record is from the annotation of a GenBank genome assembly. Lineage: Eukaryota; Fungi; Basidiomycota; Agaricomycetes; Agaricales; Mycenaceae.